This 474-nucleotide ribosomal RNA is filed under the name uncultured bacterium. Its description in RNAcentral is "partial 16S ribosomal RNA". It matches the Rfam family "Bacterial small subunit ribosomal RNA", at positions 28 to 507 of the family's 1533-position model. The record is from RNAcentral.
GACGAACGCUGGCGGCGUGCCUAAUACAUGCAAGUAGAACGCUGAAGGAGGAGCUUGCUUCUCCGGAUGAGUUGCGAACGGGUGAGUAACGCGUAGGUAACCUGCCUGGUAGCGGGGGAUAACUAUUGGAAACGAUAGCUAAUACCGCAUAACAGUAGAUGUUGCAUGACAUUUGCUUAAAAGGUGCAAUUGCAUCACUACCAGAUGGACCUGCGUUGUAUUAGCUAGUUGGUGGGGUAACGGCUCACCAAGGCGACGAUGCAUAGCCGACCUGAGAGGGUGACAGGAAAGAGUGGGACGGAGAUAAGGCCAAGACUCGUGAGGGAGGAAGGAGUGGGGAAGAUUGCACGAUGGGCGGAAGAAUGAAGCAGCAAUGCCGAGUGCGGGAUGACGGAUUUAGGGUUGUAAACAGAUUGCGACGGUGACGAAGAGUGAGGGACGGUAAUGGGUAAAGAAGCAACGGCUAACUACGUG